RNAcentral lists this ribosomal RNA (440 nucleotides) under uncultured bacterium. RNAcentral's name for it is "partial 16S ribosomal RNA". It matches the Rfam family "Bacterial small subunit ribosomal RNA", at positions 338 to 795 of the family's 1533-position model. The record is from RNAcentral.
CCUACGGGAGGCAGCAGUGGGGAAUAUUGCACAAUGGGCGAAAGCCUGAUGCAGCAAUGCCGCGUGAGGGAAGAAGGACUUCGGGGCGUAAAGCUCUGUCAGCAGGGAAGAAAAAGAUACCACGUGACGAAUAAGCCCCGGCUAACAACUAGCAGGCAGCGGCGGCAAUACGGCGGGGGCAAGCGUUAUCCGGAUUAACUGGGUGUAAUGGGGGAUGAGGUGGUAUGGUAAGACAGAUGUGAAAACCCGGGGCCCAACCCUAGGACUGCAUUUGAAACUGCCAAACUGGAGUACAGGAGAGGUAAGCGGAAUUCCUAGUGUAGCGGUGAAAUGCGUAGAUAUUAGGAAGAACACCAGUGGCGAAGGCGGCUUACUGGACUGUAACUGACGCUGAGGCUCGAAAGCGUGGGGAGCAAACAGGAUUAGAUACCCGAGUAGUC